Molecule: ribosomal RNA, 253 nt
Filed under: uncultured bacterium
Lineage: Bacteria
Description: partial 16S ribosomal RNA
Rfam family: Bacterial small subunit ribosomal RNA
Source: RNAcentral
UACGUAGGGGGCAAGCGUUAUCCGGAUUUACUGGGUGUAAAGGGAGCGUAGACGGCAGAGCAAGUCUGAAGUGAAAGCCCGCGGCCCAACUGCGGGACUGCUUUGGAAACUGCCCGGCUAGAGUGCUGGAGAGAUAAGCGGAAUUCCUAGUGUAGCGGUGAAAUGCGUAGAUAUUAGGAGGAACACCAGUGGCGAAGGCGGCUUACUGGACAGUAACUGACGUUGAGGCUCGAAAGCGUGGGGAGCAAACAGG